CCGUUUAAAGUAGUAAUUUUAUUGUUAAUCAGCUCAAUUAGGGCAUGUAAAUUGCCCCAUCGAAUAUAAAAGAUAAAAAAGUUGGUCUCAUCUAAGAUCAAGCAAAAAGCUUGAAAGUAUAAAAGAUAAAAAAAGGAAAUAAUAGAAGGUGAAGGGCAGUUAUUGAAAUUUAUUUUGAGUAUAUAAUACAUGUAGACUUCAAACUACAACAAGUGGCGAACUCGCGGCGGGGGGAACGGAAAGAUUUGAAACUCCGAUCUCGAGAAGAAAUAAGAAGCAUAGACUUCACUUAGUUGUGGUAAUACAAAUAGUUUACAAUAUGACAAAACAAAGAACUAAGACGAAGGAUUCAAAUAAUAGCGUAUUCGCAUCUUACAGCGUAAUCAAGAAGGCGAUCAAGUUCAUCGAGAGUAACGUAACCAUCGCCGUCGGCAUCCGCGGCUUUGAGUGACUGGCGAGCUCUGAAACGGCUCCAAUUAGACCCUAAGGAUUCAAAGGCCGAUUUCAACUCCAGACGUGAAAGACGGCCAUCGCCGUCGCCGUCGUGCUUGAGGAAAAUAUCACGAAGCUGAUCUCUGGAGAAAGGAACAGGACAUCGCUUGUAGUCGCUAACGCCGUUGCUGAAGACGAAACUCAAAGCCAUGGAAUUUUCUUUUUAUUAUUAUUAUUAUUAUUAUUAUUAUUAUAAGUUUACGGGAUGAUGAUGAGGAGGAGGUUGAAGAAAUAUGUUGUUUGAGUUGAAGAAAGUGUUGAAGGGCAAAACUGCUAUUUAUUGCUCAUUUCCUUCGGCUUUGACGCUGCCUUUUCAAUAUUUGGCCCUAAAAAGUUAGGGGAGCAUUUUGGUAUUUGGAUUGGCAUUGAAUUUGAAUUUUCUUCUAUCUCUUUCGAAUAUUUGUUGGACUUGGUUUUCUCUCUCUCUUUUCAAACAGAGAAAAUAAAACUAUAAAUAUACCUAUUAGAUUCAUAAUAUUAAUAUAAAAUUAUUAAAAUUUAAUGAAAUAUAUUAAUAUAUUUGAUAAACUAUACUCCAAAUAUUAACUUAUUAUUAAUACACGAUAAGAUAAGAGUCUAAUAACAAUGAUAGAAAAUUUAGUGAUUUUGAUUUAGUUUGUCAAUAGUUUCAAUUUUUUUUGUUGGAGGUAAAUUAAGAGUUUGAUCCCAAACCCUCCCCAUAACUCCACACCAUAAUCUCAAAAUAGAUUCAAAAGCAUAAUCUCAAAAUAGAUUCAAAAGCUUUCCAUCUCUCGAUUAUCAAAGUUACGUACUCCACCAAUAUAAAGAAACUUAAAUAAGAAAAAUCGACGAUCACUAAUCUAAGAGUGAGAUUGUAUGUCAAUUGGUAAUAUUACACAAAAAACGACAUGCAUGCAUGCAUCAAGAAUUUGAAGAUACAAACUAAAAAAGUUUGUUAAAAUAUAAGAAGUGGUGCUAUCAUUGAUCUUUUGAGGUUGAUCGUUGGUAAUGACAAGAAAUUAUGAACUAUGAAUUAAUCCUAUAUAUUUCAAAGUUUAAAACAAAAUAAACACUCUAAAUUAAUAUAAGAAGAAUUUGUUAAAAGAAGAAAAACCAAAUGUAUCCAUAUACUUCACGUUUAAAACGGUAGUUAAGAUUAAUGUUAAAAAGAUUUAGUUAUAAUCAAUUAGAAAAGUAUAUAGAUUUGAAAAUUUCAAAUUGCUGACAUUUGAAUAUAAAUUAUUCUUUGGAUAUAAAUUUAGAAAAUUUUCGAAUUAAAAAUAUGUCAAAAUAGAAUUUGUGAAAUGAAAUAGAUACUCCAAAUAAUGAUGAAUUUGAUUGAUAUUAAAUUAAUUAAUCACAUUGCAAUGUCAAGAAUAAGGUUUUUUUUAUAAAAAAAUUGGGUAAAGAUAUCUAAUCAUUCAUUUAAAAGAUUCUUGAAUGUAAAUUUAAAAUAAAAUUAUAUAUAUAUAUUCUUUUGGGGUGCCAUGGGGAUGGAGGUUGGGGAAUAUAUUUCCCAUCCCCGGGCCAUCUGAACUAUGAAUUAGAAAAAUAAUUCUCACUUCGAUCAUUAUCUGUUCGAGUAUUUCUGUUUCGCGACAGAUUCUCAUGGGACCCUUACUCCACGGGUUAAAUGAACGUCUCUAAUUUCAAAAAUGUUUUAAUAUUUUCUUCUAUCAAUCAUUUGACCAUUUUAGUUUGAGAUUUACUCUAUUACGAAUUGAGUUAGGUCUAGCGAAUUUUAUGAUCUUAUAUAUCGAUCAAGUUGUAGUUGAAAAGAUAAAGUAUUGAUUCUAAUUUCUUCAAAUUUUUGUAAUCCAUUAAGCUAGCUAGAGAAAUAAUUGAUAAAAAUCAUAAAACUAAAAUAAAAUUAAAAAGUUAUCCAAUGAAUUAAAAUAGAAUCAACAAAGGUACAGAAAACGAGAAUUAAAAAUAAGAGAGGUUUGUUAGGAAGGAAAAGCUAAGCGAUGGAAUCUUCAAAAGUAAUGUAUGGCUUACAAACAAAGCUAUAUAUAUAAUUCGAUUUAUAUAUAUAUAUAUAUAUAUAUCUGUGUGGGCAAUUUUAAUUCUGAUAAAAAUUAAAAUUUAAAUAUCAUACUAUUUUUCUACCUAAACGAAUAUAAUUCGAUAAUUUUAAACAUGUGUAUGAAAUUAACAACAUGUUUUUUUAAAUAUAAUUUAAAUUUACCAAUCCAAAUAUUAUACUCUUACAAAUAUGUUAUUGAUUUUGGACAAGAAUAUCAAAUUUGUAAAAACUAUUUUAUCAAACAAACUGCUGUAGGAAUAAUUUUCUAGUAAGGUGAUUACAACCUGGGGUAAUAAUUAACGAAAUGUAUAACUUGUAAAUAGCAAAUUCUAUCGUUGAUGAUAGACUUGUCUUUGGUCAAUUAAUGAUAAAUCAUUAAUGAUAUAGUCUAUAACGAAUAGACCAUGAGAGUACUAUAUCGUUGCUAUAUAUUUGCUUUUGUCAAUUUUAAGUAUGUGAAAAUGUAAAAAGUUAAAAACAAUUUUGAUCUGUGAAAUUUCAAAAUAAUUUGAGUUUGGUAUUUGGCUUUUUGAUUUUUUAAUUUAAAAAUUAAGUUUAUUCUCCUUUUUCAUUUCUUACUACCAUUUGCAUAUUUUUCUAGUCAAAUUUGAAAAACAAAAACAAAUUUUUAAAAACUGCAUUUUUUAGUUUAAAAUUAUGGCUUGGGCUUUUAAAUCGUAAAAUGUAGAAAGUUGAAAGUAUAGGCUAAAUAUUAAAAAAUAAAAAUAAAUAACCAAAUGAGAUCUAAAUUAUUGUCAUUUGUUUAAGUCGUCAUCUUUUUCAAUUUCUGUUCGCAUUCAACUUACAUCAUGAGUUGAUUUUGACAUCGAUCGUUUUCAUCUUUUUAGAAAAUUCUCAUCUUUCACAUAAAAGGUAUGGUGCAAAACAUUCAAACAAGCUAAUGGACGCUACAAAGAAAGAGAAUAUAUAUCGAUAGUGCGUAAUUAAAAAGAGUUGUUAGACAUGAGAAUAUAUAGUAGUUAAGACAUCCAACUUUAGCUAUAAUAUUUGAACUUAAAGAGAUAGGCUAAUUAACAUUAACCAACAUGAACUCAGCUCAACUAAACGAGUGGACCAAAGGUCAGACUAUAUCAACAAAAAUUUAGUACGUUUUAAUAGUAAUAAUAAUUAACCAUAAAAGAUCGAUUUUUGUUACUCUAAAAACGUUUUGAAUAUCAUAUGUUGAAGACAAACAUACAUGCAAAUUCUUCAUUCCUUAUUUUCCAAAGAUAUAAAGAAUAUGUUAGUUAAGUGGUAAAAGUGAGAAUUUUGAAAUGAAUUAUGCUUUCUUUUUUUUGUUUGGUAUAUAGUCACCAACAAGAGAAUUUUAGGUAGUGAUAUAUUAUCACACACUGUAGUAAUAAUGGCCAUAUAUAUAUAUAUAUAUAUAUAUAUAAUUCUAGCUGCCCCACUCCCAAGUAAAAAAAAAAACUCUUUUCAAAAAAAUUGUUAGAUGCUGAUCCAUUUUUUCUUACCAUUUUCAUAUAUAGCAAAAUAAAUAUAUACAUCAUAAACUUGACAGAUUGUAUCAAUCAAAUUUUAAAUGUAUAAUAUUUGUUAAGAAUUUGAACAUAUAACUGUUUCAAAUUACAUAUUGAUCCAUCUUCAAGCAAAUGAUGAUGGCUAUAAAAUGACUAUAAAAUAAAAAUGACUAUCGUCUACCUCAAUCAAAACCUUGAACGUCGUUAUUGUGAUCUUUCUCUCUAUGGAAUACAUGAAAGUAGGCUCGAAGUCUUUUUAUAUACUAGUUUAAUUAUGAUCCUUACACCAUUUUACCCCUUCAAUCCAUACUCAAUUAGGAAUUUUUGGUCUUAAUUAAAUAGAUCAUGUAAUAGACCCAAUUUAAUAAAAUAAUCCAAUGUGAUAAAUUAUUAAUUUACAUACAUAACUCAUGUAUCUCAUCCUAUUGUUUAAUCAUGUAUUGUUAUCUAAUAAACUCUCUUUACUGUUUUCUUUUAUUUUGUAGGAUGAGGAUUGAACCUUGGAGAUACCGAUUCCAGUAAAGUAAGAUAAAAAGUAGAAUUGGAUUCCAAUUUUUCCAAUUUUCGGGUUGAAAAAAGUUGGCAUAGUAGUUGUAAGAAAAUUGCUUAUCAUCUAUAUCAUUGCUUGCCAUGGUGCUAUCAAUUUUUGAAAGUGUGAUGAACACAAAAUGAGUAAUUAGCUAAACAUAACAACACAUACGAACUGAAGAUAUAUACAAUUAAAAUACAACUGAUUGAGAUAUAUAUUGUCAAUAAAUUAAAGGCAACAGAGGUUCGAAAGUAAAAUAAAAGAAAAAUACACAUAAGAAGCAGCCGCCAUUUAUUGGACAAGUUUAUAGAAACCGACGAUAUGAUCAACAAGCCGUCGUGGGAGGCGGCGGGGCAGUAAAUAAAAAUCAGACAACAUAACCUUUGCUCAUCAUGUACUUUACGAACUGAUCGAUCUCUUCCUCGCCAAGCUUUCCAUCUCUGUUUCGAUCUGCGUGACACAGAGCACUGUAAGCGAGAUGAACUGGCAUUUCAGCGUCCAGUUUCUUCAAUGCGUUCUUGAUCUCGAACAAUCCUAAUCCUCCGUCUUCAUUCGUAUCCAUUUGGUUAAAGAUCUGUCUCAGUUCUUUGGCAGAGUAGGCGCUUUCCGACGAGACGGGCGGUGAAUUCGAUUUCGUUUUUGGACGGAACAUCGACGACAUGGUUCUGUAGUUGAUUGUGGUUUGGGAAAUUGGGGAGUUGGAUUUGAUUUGAUUUGUU
This 5208-nucleotide long non-coding RNA is filed under the name Cucumis sativus (cucumber). Its description in RNAcentral is "long non-coding RNA (CSAT_LNC001708)". The record is from RNAcentral. Lineage: Eukaryota; Viridiplantae; Streptophyta; Magnoliopsida; Cucurbitales; Cucurbitaceae.